AACAAGAUCAGAGCAGCAUUUGAGAAUUUCACAGUGGGCCAGAAGGCACCCUGGAAGAGCAAGUUCUAGAAGAGUGUGAAGUUGCCCAGGCCCAGUGAUAGCAAAUGCCACCAAUGACCUCUGGUCAAAUAAAUAUCUUUUGAAAUUAGACAACCCUGGUGAAAAUCAAGGAGAAGCAAAAUCCAGAGUUUUCUAAAGUUGUCUCUACAGGUGUCGGGGUAGGGACUAAUCUCUAUUAGGCACAUUUAUCAAGUUAUCUCCAGGUUUCUGGGUUAUGAUGUGACCCACAGAACAUCCAAAUUCAGAAAAUAAUGACAUGCCAGGGUGAGAAUCCUUUUAACCCAAUACUUCUCUUUCAACACUCAGGACCACUAAAUCGCUAGCCUAUAUUGUUGCUGUAUAUAGUAUUUACAAAUGUGAAUGACAUACACGUAUGGUUAUUCACUACAGCUUUAUUUGUAAUGGCCAAGAUUGAAACAACCCAAGUAGGGACCAUCAGUAGGGAAUUGGUUAAAUAAAUUAUGGUAUAUCCACAUAGUGAGGGACUACAUAGCUAUGAAAAAAGAACGAGAAUGUGCUCUACGUCUAUUAGGAAAGUAUAUUGUUAAGUAAAGAAAAGCAAGAUAUCAAACCAUGCAUACAAUAUGCUAUCUUUGGGUAAAAAUAAUUAUCUAUAUUCACGGUUUCCUGUACCGCCAUAAAGUCUGGAAUGAUACAUAAGAAACUAGUGAACAGUGGCUGGGUAGAGAGAAGUCAGGGAAUAGGGACAAGGCAAGGGGGGCUGUUUUUACUGAAUAAUUUGUUUUACUUUUGGUUUUUCAACCAGGUAAACUACUGCUAUUCAGAAAAUUAGAUACAGUUUUUCAACAUAAGGAAAAAGUCCAUCAUUGGUAUUGCUAUACCAACAAGCAUGCUGGGCAGCUGGAGAGAACCACAGGGAGGUCUUGGAGCAUGGCGGAAUGGCGAAUGGGACGGAGUGGGGAAGGGAGGAAGGCUGGGUGAGGCAGAAGCUGCAGGGGCCCACGGAAGAGAGCGCCUCUAGCCACAGAGUGACCAGAAGCGCAGGAGUCCGUAAAAUUUCGGCAAUUGAUUACACUUAAUUGAAACCUUGGUUUGGGCCUUCUUCUAGAACCUAGCAGAUUCCAUGAAUGUGAGAAAUGGCCAAGAUUCAGUUUUUGCUUCAGCCCACCACCUCCUUAAAGCCUUUGCAGGUCCCUCUAGCCUGUGGUGACUCCUCAUUUUCUGAAUACUUUUUCUUUAUACUACUCACUGGGAAGUCCACUGUUCUGCCUGAAUUGUUUGGUAUUUGUUACUUAACCAUUCAUUGUGAACUCCUUAGAAAGCUGGGGCUGCAGCUUAAUCAGGGCUGUGUUCCCAGUGUCUGCCCCUCCCGCAUGCUUAAUAAAUGUUUGCUGAAUGGAUUCUGUCAUCUAUCCAACUAGACUUAAGUUUCUUGAAGACAGAGUCCAUCUCUAUACCUUCAGCAGUGCUCAGGGUCCUGGGGGCCACUGUCCACAAACAACGACCUGGAGCAGAGCUCCUGGGAGCCUACCUUAAAGCUUAGUUCGCCCUUUUUGUCCCCCUCUUAAAAGCAAAAGUUCGGAAUGCAGACCAAAAGAAGAAAACUGCUUCGGAAAACUCCAAGACACGUCAAUAUGCAUGCUAUUGACCGAGGAAGUCAAUUCACACCGUUCAUCUCAAGACUUCAGGAUGUUGCCCCAAGGCAGAUCUAACAAGUGGUGCAUUAGACAUCCUCCUGAGCCUCCUUUCUCAGCUGGCUCUUGACAGAGUUGCCCUAGACUCUCCAAGGGCUCUCUAGCCUUGACAAACUCGAGGAGCAAGCACUCACUCCUGAGCUGGGAAGACUUAACGGGACAAAUGCCCUACUAUUUUAUAAGACUUCUCUUGCUCUGAAAACCUGUCCAGGUGGAAUGGCCACAAGCAAGACUCAUGCUAGAGUUUUCCUCCUCUCACUCCUGCAUGAGGGGAAAAAAAGCAGAAGCUGUGUGUGUAAAAUGUACUUGUUCACCUUGGAUGAUAAUACUCUUCAAAGAGAGCCAUGAAAAUAGCUCACGUUAUUAGAAACACCAUGAAAAAGUAUAAUUAGUCACUUAAACAGUUAUCCAACUUAUUUCUCACUAUAAAGUUUAUAGAUUAAUUUUCAAAUUAGAAAAAAAUUCAAAAAUUAGAAGUAGACUUUUCAGCUUGCUUGUUAUUUGCAAAGACUGCAUGAUUCAGAACAGUGUCAUAUUAGUCCUUUUACGAUGUGGGUUUAUCUACAGAUAUGAGUAUGUACAUUUUUUAGGAAGUUUGUCUACAGAUAAAAAUAGAAUAAUAUCAUCUUUCCAUGCAUCGUCAUUUCUAGUUACACAAGGAGUCCAGCCCAGCAAGUACAAUUUUCACUACCCAAAUGUGAGUUCCCAAAGAACAUUCCCAGUUGUGAAACUAGAAAUAAGCAAUUUGACUAAUUUGAGCUCAGGAUAAUACAUGUUCAUUCAGCGUUUUCUGGCCUAGUUCUAUGAAAAUAGGACCAGAGCACUUUCUGGAUUUUUGCAGAGAUCCAAAGUCAACUUGUCUUUGGCAGUGCGGCCUUGGCUUUCUCCAGUGCCUCACUGCUCCAGCCUGAUGGCUACCCACCUGCCACCUGCCUGCAGACACAUCCCCAGGCUGGUGUCUGGGCCAACUACCGCGGAGGGAUGAGGUAUGUGAAGCAGGCUCAGUGCCAUCACAGAGUAGUGAAAUUCGAUUCCUGAACCAGGUGAAAAAGCAAACAGACCCCUCUAUAAUAGCUCCCACAGAGGACCCUCGACCCUGAGCCACAUACGCUCCCUACCCUGGGAUCUAGAAUCCUUCAGCCAGCCCAGCGCACGCAUGGAGCACCCAGAUCUGAAAGAUGCAGUCAAGCUCUUGUCUCAGCUCUCCCUCCUCAGUCCUAACUAUUCCCCUGGCCAGGGCUCUCUUCCUCUAGGAGGGGCCUAGUGACCCAUUUGAACCAGGUCUAACUCCCCUUUGAGGAACUAGCAGGGCUUUUGCCACAUAUCCUCAACAGGAAGCCACUCAAUACCUUCACCUGACCCCUCCUUGAGUCUCCUCCCAUCACAUCUUCUUCAGACAGUCCUCCUGUUGCCAAGAGCUGCCUCCCAGCUCCCCACCCCCAGCAGAAAAGCGUUGUGCCAAAUCCUGGUUCCCUCGUGCCCCUGACUGUCUCUUCUUUUUGCGCUGAUCUAACUGCUUUGUACCUAGGUCAUGAACUUUGACAAACUUCACCUGCUGACUCUUCAGAAACAGCGCUUUCAUUAUUCUGGAUGGACUGAUAUAUCUUUGGUCUACAGUAGCAUAAAGAAACCAAUCUGUGAUCUGAGCUGUAGUCAGUAUGCUCAGAAUCAAGUGUGGCCUAUAACCAGUGAUAACGAAAUUAGGUACAAACUACAGUCUCUUCAGUAAGUUUUAAGUAUCUCAAAUUUUAUUUAUUUUUGUUUUUAAUUAUUUUUAUAUUCUGAAUCUGUCAGUCACUAUACAACCAAAUAGUGUUAGUGAUUCAGAGUGAAGGUCUGGGAUUCUAGCUUUGCUGCUUACUCCCUGUGUGACCUUGAGCAAAUUACUUUACUCCAUGUAGCAUCAGUGUCCUCAGCAUAGAGGAAGGAUGACAACACCGGAGGGGGCUGUUGUAUUAACUGAGACAAGGUAUGGAAGCCCCUGGCCAGAGUCUGACAUGGAGCGCUCCAUCUAUGGGAGCAGUUAUUAUUCAAUCCUACCUUCGUCUGUAGAUGGGUAAUUACCAGGAACAGACACAGAUUAUUACAGCACUAUAAUAUUCCUUUUAAAAUCAACAGGGAACUCAAGGUGUCUCACUGGGUAGAUACAGGCUAUCUGGUAAAAUCCAAUUCACUGAACUUUUCCUUAAAGAAAGUGGUUAUCUUUUAUCAUUAAAAGAUUUAAUGGAAAAUCUAACCCAUUUUCUAUUGAAACACAGAUCUUGCUAAUGCUAAAGCUACCAUUUUUUACGUUUAAAAAAUUAGCAAGGAUUUUAUAUAUAAAGCUAAUGCAUGCAAAAGGACAGAUUCCUUUGUGGCCACUCACAUCAUGUAGAGGUGGGGGUAGGAGGGGCGCCUCUGAAGCGCACCCGGGCCUGCCUCCUACCUCUCUACUGCACUAGCCAAAGGGAAAUAAAAAUAGCGGCAAAUAUGUAUUGACCUUGGAAAUCCAAGCACACCUCUGGAUGUGCUGUCCAUAUCUAGAGAACCUAAAAUAUCUCACAUACAAUAGCAGGAAGAAAGCAUAGCAUAUUUAGGAACAAACUUAAAACAGUUUCAAAGGAUCUCUGGAAAGAAAAACUAUAAAACUUUGUUGAGAGACAUAAGAAAAUCUGAAUAAAUGGGGAAAAGUAGCACAUUCCUAGAUAUGAACCCUCAAAGUAAAAAUGUCAAUGUUACCCAAGCUUGCCUACAAAUUUAACAUAAUUCCAAGAGAAAAAUCCAAACAGUAUUUGUUGAUGAUGGAAAAUUAAUCUAAACAUCAUCUAGAAGAAUAAAUGUGUGAGAGACUGCCAAAAGUUUUGAAAAAGAAGAAUAAUGAAGAGGAAUGUGCUGUACCAGAUAAUAAAUUGUAUUACAAAGCUUCAAUAAUUAAAAACAAUAUAUACUAAUAUAAGAAUAGACAGACAAAUCAAGUGAACAGAAGCAAAAAUUCCCAGAAACAGAGCUAAGAAUAGAUAAGAAUCCAGCAUAUAGUGGAGAUAACACUGCAAAUCCUUGAGGGAAGAAUGGCUUAUUCAGAAAAUGGCAGGGGAGUAGGGAGGUUAACAUCAAAAUAAACUCCAAAUAUAUUAAAUAUUUAAAUAUAAAAUAUAUUCAGAUAUAGUUCUGUUGUUAGUCUUCCUUAACUCCUGUCAGCUACGAAUGAUGGAAAACUAAAUAUGCCAGUGCAGGAAGUCAUUCCUGAAGGGGACUCGGGGCUGUCUGAGGCACCACCUCCUAUCAGAGCUUUGGCACUGAGAGAAGGUACCUGGGCUAACCAGCGCACUCUCAGACAAUCCUGAAGGCUUCUCUUUUUAUUUCUGCCUCCAGUCUCAAGGUUUCUUGAGUCUAUCCAUGUCUCUUUCCCAGGCUGGCAGAUGUGUAAACUGGGGAAAAGAUGCAGCAAAAAAGAGUAAGGCUAUAGGCAGACUGUGCCAUCUGAAGAUAGUGCUCCUGAAUUUACUCUGUUACCCCGAUGUGCUCCCUGGCUUGGGGGUAGUCAAGACCAGGAAUAGUGUUAAAUCAGGUGUGAGUGCACCUGCGCGUGCAUGCCUAUGUGUCUGUGUUGUGGGGGACACAUUGUUAUCAGAGUUUACUCCUCUUUACUGAAGGGGUAACUGAACUCUCUCCUGGAGACUUUCACAGUAAAGUACACGACAUAUAAAAGAAUUACAAGGUCAGAGCACACAGCCUGGAGCCAAUGAAGAGGGCAGAUAAGUAAGUUCACAGCAGAAAUUUUGAACGUACACGUGGCUCUUGUAUUCAUUUACUCCAGCAGCAUUUCUCAAAGGAUUACUAUGCACUGCUACCUUCCUAGGUGCUGGGGACAUAAUGUUGAGCAAGACUAAGUCCCUGCCUUGGAGGUACUCAAAAUUUAGCUGGAGUGAUCAAACAUGUAAACAAAUUAUUGCAGAAUUAUUUAUCUGAGCUACUUUCAGACCAUGACAAAUAUCAGCUCCCACAGAAAGUUCUAGAAUGCGCUCCCCUUUGCCCUGUACCAAACAUAUUCUUUCUUUUCCCUAAUCUACAUCUUGUUUGACUUAACUUCUCCGUGAAGAUUUUCAAGCUUUCAUAGCCUAUCAUAAGCCGUUUUUUCUUUCCAAAUACAUCACAUUCCUUUAUGUGCUACAGACCUCCUAUGUAUCUAACUGUUCUGUUUUCUUUCAUCAUCAAACAAUGGAAGAGACCAAGUCUUCUAUUUCAUGUUAACCAUUGGAGCCUAGAAACAACGCAUCUGCAGAUGCUGACCCAAGAGAAGACUCUGACAUCUUUGGAUUCAGCUACCAAAACGAGGGGGACUACAAGAGCAGCUGUUCAACUGACCUCAAAAGACUAAAAUCUUAAGCAUCCACGGCAAGAAGGGAGAAGAGUCCGACAACUUUAACCUCCCCUCCGGAGCUACAGCAACCAAUGCUUGGUUAAAUUAAGUAAACUUGACUCCUUACUUCCUUCUCUUCUGUUCACACGCUUUAGACUAGAGAAAGAAUUAUCAAGACUUUAAAAGACCAAAUUCUAAAAAAGAAAGGGCAGUAAGGAAACUAGAUAACUAACCCUUCAAUGAGCAGAAGUUGACUGGUCAUACAGAGGCAGUCUGAAUGAUAAGCAGCUUGCCCAGUAGCAACUUCCAAUCCAGUUUUCCAGAAUCUUUGCCUCCAUAGCCUCCUGUGCAUACCAUCUUAGCGCUUAGUGAAUUAACUGAAACUGUCUUUGCGUCUUUCUCAAUUAGACAAACUACGUUUCUCUAGAAUGGGAGCCAUCUAACUUAAUACUCUAGUGUGAACUCAUUGAUACCAAGUACUGGGCACAAGUUCUUGGGGUACUGCAGGCAGAAAACAUCCCUGAACUGCUAAAAUAAAUGAUAAAACUGACAUUCUGUGGCAUUCUUGCAGACGGGAAAGGCACAAAGCUGCAGUAAGCCUACGAGCCCCUACUUGAAGGGAUGAAAUUUUAAUAGGAAGAAAAAUACAUGCCUAAGUAAAAUAUUAGAAGGGAGAAGGAGAGUUAGAAGACUUUUCAGCAGAAACAGUCCCAGUUUACCCAGUUCACCCCAAAGGCAGAAAAAUGGGAAAGAAUCUAAAGAUGAGAAAGAGAAACCACACCUGACUACCUUUCUACCUUCAGAAGAAAGAGUUUUGAGUUUCCAGUUCGUGGUAUGUAAAUCCCUAAGUGUAAAGGAAGCUCUGACUUAGAAUAUGGUCACAUUCAUGGAGAGAUUAAAAGGGAAGAGGGAGGGAUGGGGAGAAGCACAUGUGCAGUGAGGCACACUCAACCCCCUACACACAAACACACAUACACACAUACACGUGCGCACACACGAUAUUUCACAGUGGAGUAAUGCUAAAUGUUUGCCUUGCUCCAAUAUUUUCCUUCCUAGUAAGGGUCUGGUCUGUCCUUUCACUGUUAGGCUUCCUCUUCAAAGGGGGUUUACAUGAAAUAACCACAUGUAUUUACUGAGCCAUCAUUACACAUCAUCAUCUUGUUCAUGCAGGGCACCGAGAAAGCCACUCAAUCUGGAUGGGUAGCCUGUAUUUCAAAUUGAUGGGAGCUCAGAGACCAGAAUGAGGCUUGUUCAAUGGUUCUCAGCCCUGCUGCACAUGAGAAUCACCUGGGGAGCUUUUAAAACAAUACUAGUGCAGAGUCUCAACCCAAACCAAUUAAAUCAGAAUUGCUAGGGGUGAGGUCUGGGCAUUGGAUUUUUUGUUGUUUUUUUAAAGCUCCACAAAGAAUUAUCAUUAAUUUUUUUCAGCAUGGUAAAAGCAAGUGGUUAUGUUUUUCUAAAAAAAGUCUUUACUAGAGAUAGAAGCAGAUUUGCUUUAAAAUACUCCGUGGAGAGGGGUGGUUUUGAUUAUACAAGAUUGGCAAAAUGUUGAUAAUUGUUCACGCUGCGUGAUGGACACGUGUGAGUUGAUUACAUUAUUCAGUCUACUUUUGCAUAUUUGAAAAAUUCUAUAAAAUUUUUAAAAUAAAAUCAGCAGAAA
Molecule: non-coding RNA, 7714 nt
Organism: Equus caballus (horse)
Lineage: Eukaryota; Metazoa; Chordata; Mammalia; Perissodactyla; Equidae
Source: RefSeq, a predicted model, not a curated record